RNAcentral lists this non-coding RNA (167 nucleotides) under Paenibacillus sp. Its description in RNAcentral is "FMN sequence". It matches the Rfam family "FMN riboswitch aptamer (RFN element)". From Rfam's summary of the family: The RFN element is a highly conserved domain that is found frequently in the 5'-untranslated regions of prokaryotic mRNAs that encode for flavin mononucleotide (FMN) biosynthesis and transport proteins. The record is from RNAcentral. Lineage: Bacteria; Bacillati; Bacillota; Bacilli; Caryophanales; Paenibacillaceae. RNAcentral also lists the same sequence under 1 other name.
AUGGAUCUUCGGGGUAAGGUGAAAUUCCUGACCGGCGGUGAUGCUUCUAUCUUGAAUGAGAUGAGGCUCAGCCCGCGACUCGCUAAGUUUGCGAUUGAAGCGAACCUAGCGACUGACUUGGUGCAAUUCCAAGGCCGACGGUAAAGUCCGGAUGGGAGAAGAUCAAG